GUGGGUUUAGUGAAAUUGGUAUCACAUUAGACUUCUCAUACUGAUAUUGCAAGUUCGAUUCUUGUAACCUACA
This 73-nucleotide transfer RNA is filed under the name Trichoderma atroviride. RNAcentral describes it as "tRNA-Arg". It matches the Rfam family "tRNA". Rfam says of the family: Transfer RNA (tRNA) molecules are approximately 80 nucleotides in length. Their secondary structure includes four short double-helical elements and three loops (D, anti-codon, and T loops). Lineage: Eukaryota; Fungi; Ascomycota; Sordariomycetes; Hypocreales; Hypocreaceae. RNAcentral also lists the same sequence under 1 other name. The record is from RNAcentral.